This 468-nucleotide ribosomal RNA is filed under the name uncultured bacterium. Its description in RNAcentral is "partial 16S ribosomal RNA". It matches the Rfam family "Bacterial small subunit ribosomal RNA", at positions 28 to 507 of the family's 1533-position model. The record is from RNAcentral.
GACGAACGCUGGCGGCGUGCUUAACACAUGCAAGUCGAACGGACAGGCCCUGCUUUUGUGGGGUGCUCGAGUGGCGAACGGGUGAGUAACACGUGAGUAACCUGCCCUUGACUUUGGGAUAACUUCAGGAAACUGGGGCUAAUACCGGAUAGGAGCUCCUGCUGCAUGGUGGGGGUUGGAAAGUUUCGGCGGUUGGGGAUGGACUCGCGGCUUAUCAGCUGGUUGGUGGGGUAGUGGCUUACCAAGGCUUUGACGGGUAGCCGGCCUGAGAGGGUGACCGGGCACAUGGGGACUGAGAUACGGCCCAGACGCCUACGGGAGGCAGCAGUGGGGAAUAUUGCACAAUGGGCGGAAGCCUGAUGCAGCAACGCCGCGUGCGGGAUGACGGCCUUCGGGUUGUAAACCGCUUUCGCCUGUGACGAAGCGUGAGUGACGGUAAUGGGUAAAGAAGCACCGGCUAACUACGUG